CACAGCUGUACUUGCAAUUACCAGGAUAUAAAUCCAUGUGAAAUAAUCUGUGUCAAUAAAUGUGGUGUGAGUUUUUCCCCUUGUGUAACUGUAAAUACAUUUAAAUCUUAGGGGAUGAUUUGGACAUGGAGUGUUAAAUGAUGCUGAGUUAGACAGUGAAGUAGCAUGACUCCAGAGAAGAAAAUGAAUAUCAUCUCUUCCAAGAAUAUACCAAUCAUUUAUGAAUUACCACACAACUAAAGUGGAGUAUGAGCUGUAAACCUCUGGGGAUCUACGGGAUGAUGACGUUUUCAAAGGGCCAGCAAGUCACCUCAUCCUCUCAGACACACUUCCUGAAAUGAUGCCAUGGUUUAAUCUUCCUCAGAAAACAACAUGUUUGUAUCCCUUGACAGCGCCCUAUUACAGCUUGAUAAAGAUAUGCACCCCUUAAAAGAGCUUGUGCUGCUU
Molecule: long non-coding RNA, 447 nt
Filed under: Anser brachyrhynchus (Pink-footed goose)
Lineage: Eukaryota; Metazoa; Chordata; Aves; Anseriformes; Anatidae
Description: lncRNA (ENSABRG00000016097.1)
Source: RNAcentral